This 253-nucleotide ribosomal RNA is filed under the name uncultured bacterium. RNAcentral describes it as "partial 16S ribosomal RNA". It matches the Rfam family "Bacterial small subunit ribosomal RNA", at positions 524 to 776 of the family's 1533-position model. The record is from RNAcentral.
UACGGAGGGUGCGAGCGUUGUUCGGAAUUACUGGGCGUAAAGCGCGUGUCGGCGGCUGGGCAAGUCAGAUGUGAAAUCCCCGGGCUCAACCCUGGAACUGCAUCUGAAACUACCUGGCUAGAGUCUCGGAGAGGAAGGCAGAAUUCCCGGUGUAGGGGUGAAAUCCGUAGAUACCGGGAGGAAUACCAGUAGCGAAGGCGGCCUUCUGGACGAUGACUGACGCUCAGACGCGAAAGCGUGGGGAGCAAACAGG